UACGUAGGGCGCAAGCGUUAUCCGGAAUUAUUGGGCGUAAAGAGCUCGUAGGCGGUUUGUCGCGUCUGCCGUGGAAGUCCGGGGCUCAACUCCGGAUCUGCGGUGGGUACGGGCAGACUAGAGUGAUGUAGGGGGAGACUGGAAUUCCUGGGUGUAGCGGUGAAAUGCGUAGAGAUCAGGAAGAACACCGGUGGCGAAGGCAGGUCUCUGGGCCACUACUGACGCUGAGAAGCGAAAGCAUGGGGAGCGAACAGG
This 255-nucleotide ribosomal RNA is filed under the name uncultured bacterium. RNAcentral describes it as "partial 16S ribosomal RNA". It matches the Rfam family "Bacterial small subunit ribosomal RNA", at positions 524 to 776 of the family's 1533-position model. The record is from RNAcentral.